This 725-nucleotide ribosomal RNA is filed under the name Clostridioides difficile. RNAcentral's name for it is "partial 23S ribosomal RNA". It matches the Rfam family "Bacterial large subunit ribosomal RNA", at positions 699 to 1432 of the family's 2925-position model. Lineage: Bacteria; Bacillati; Bacillota; Clostridia; Peptostreptococcales; Peptostreptococcaceae. The record is from RNAcentral.
GUUACUUGACGUAGACCCGAAACCGGGCGACCUACCCAUGAGCAGGAUGAAGCGAAAGUAAAAUUUCGUGGAGGUCCGAACCCACGAGCGUUGAAAAGCUCGGGGAUGACUUGUGGGUAGCGGUGAAAUUCCAAUCGAGCCCGGAGAUAGCUGGUUCUCCCCGAAAUAGCUUUAGGGCUAGCCUCAAGGUGAGAGAUACGGAGGUAGAGCACUGAAUGUCCUAGGGGGUAUUGCACCUACCGAAGACUAUCAAACUCCGAAUGCCGUCAUCUUAUACUUGGGAGUCAGACUGUGGGUGAUAAGAUUCAUAGUCGAAAGGGCAACAGCCCAGAUCGUCAGCUAAGGUCCCUAAAUGUAAGUUAAGUGGUAAAGGAUGUGGGAUUGCACAGACAACCAGGAUGUUGGCUUAGAAGCAGCCACUCAUUCAAAGAGUGCGUAAUAGCUCACUGGUCGAGUGAUCCUGCGCCGAAGAUUUCCGGGGCUAAAACUUACUACCGAAGCUACGGCAUCAGUAAUGAUGGGUAGGGGAGCUUCCCAUACGGGUUGAAGCAUGACCGUAAGGACAUGUGGACAGUAUGGGAGUGAGAAUGUUGGCAUGAGUAGCGAGAUGUGGGUGAGAAUCCCACAGGCCGUAAACCCAAGGUUUCCAGGGGAAGGUUCGUCCGCCCUGGGUUAGUCGGGACCUAAGCUGAGGCCGAAAGGCGUAGGUGAUGGACAACAGGUUG